GUUAAUGUAGCUUAAUAAAAAGCAAAGCACUGAAAAUGCUUAGAUGAGCUUACUAGCUCCAUAAACA
RNAcentral lists this transfer RNA (67 nucleotides) under Lepus capensis (brown hare). RNAcentral's name for it is "tRNA-Phe". It matches the Rfam family "tRNA". From Rfam's summary of the family: Transfer RNA (tRNA) molecules are approximately 80 nucleotides in length. Their secondary structure includes four short double-helical elements and three loops (D, anti-codon, and T loops). Lineage: Eukaryota; Metazoa; Chordata; Mammalia; Lagomorpha; Leporidae. RNAcentral also lists the same sequence under 1 other name. The record is from RNAcentral.